This 253-nucleotide ribosomal RNA is filed under the name uncultured bacterium. RNAcentral's name for it is "partial 16S ribosomal RNA". It matches the Rfam family "Bacterial small subunit ribosomal RNA", at positions 524 to 776 of the family's 1533-position model. The record is from RNAcentral.
UACAGAGGGGGCAAGCGUUGUUCGGAAUUACUGGGCGUAAAGGGCGCGUAGGCGGCCUGUUAAGUCGAACGUGAAAUCCCCGGGCUCAACCCGGGAACUGCGUCCGAUACUGGCAGGCUUGAAUCCGGGAGAGGGAUGCGGAAUUCCAGGUGUAGCGGUGAAAUGCGUAGAUAUCUGGAGGAACACCGGUGGCGAAGGCGGCAUCCUGGACCGGUAUUGACGCUGAGGCGCGAAAGCGUGGGGAGCAAACAGG